This 433-nucleotide ribosomal RNA is filed under the name uncultured bacterium. Its description in RNAcentral is "partial 16S ribosomal RNA". It matches the Rfam family "Bacterial small subunit ribosomal RNA", at positions 29 to 507 of the family's 1533-position model. The record is from RNAcentral.
AACGAACGCUGGCGGCAUGCCUAACACAUGCCAGUCGAACGAGACCUUCGGGUCUAGUGGCGCACGGGUGCGUAACGCGUGGGAACCUGCCCUUAGGUUCGGAAUAACUCCCCGAAAGGGGUGCUAAUACCGGAUAAUGUCUUCGGACCAAAGAUUUAUCGCCUUUGGAUGGGCCCGCGUUGGAUUAGCUAGUUGGUAGGGUAAAAGCCUACCAAGGCGACGAUCCAUAGCUGGUCUGAGGGGAUGAUCAGCCACACUGGGACUGAGACACGGCCCAGACUCCUACGGGAGGCAGCAGUGGGGAAUAUUGGACAAUGGGCGAAAGCCUGAUCCAGCAAUGCCGCGUGAGUGAUGAAGGCCUUAGGGUUGUAAAGCUCUUUUACCCGGGAUGAUAAUGACAGUACCGGGAGAAUAGGCUCCGGCUAACUCCGUG